This is a long non-coding RNA of Mercenaria mercenaria, 1414 nucleotides long. RefSeq lists it as uncharacterized. The record is from RefSeq and is a predicted model, not a curated record. The transcript is spliced from 2 exons. NCBI's taxonomy places the organism in Eukaryota, Metazoa, Mollusca, Bivalvia, Venerida, Veneridae.
AGGACAAUGGAGUAAAUGAGGAUGAAGAAGUGGGUCCAUUGAUUCCCCCACCCCAGGGAUUCAGGGGUCCAUCUGCAAGACCUAAUCAAGGGAGACCACUGUCUCAGUCAGUUCCACAGGAUACACAUAGUAACGUAAUGAGAACAAGUAGUGCUAAACCCCCUCUCCCCCGCGGCCGACAGAGCACCAGUACAGCAAACUUCCGGUACAAGCACCCGUCCCCACCUCGGAGACCUGCAAGACCACCUACUUCAAGUAGAAAUGAAACUUAAGUCGUAAAAAAAAAUUCUCCCAUUUUUAUAGAGUGAUAUAUAGGAUGGUAGCAUGUUGUGUGAUUGAAUCAAAUUGUUCAAAACUUCAGUGUUGGGGAAAAAGGCUUUGAAGAAAGACUUUUCUUUACAUAUAUAAGUUAAACUUUUCUUGUCUUUUCAUUUUGGCAAAGAUGAAAAGAAAAUGUUUCUUGCUCUGUGAGUAAGGACUUUUCUGUGAUAAGUUCAAAAGGAUAUUUUUUCAAUACAUUUCAAAGCUCUUUACAUAUUUUCGUAGGAGAAAUUCUUGUUACUUGAAUUUAGUUCAUAUUUACAAUCAUGGACUAUAAAUACUCGAAUGGACCGCAAAAUUACUACAAAAAAGCUGUGUCUUUGUGAUAAUACUAAAGCAUGAUUGAAAUGAAUUACAUAACAUGCCAAAGUUUAUGUGAUAUUUAUUCAAAUGUUAAUUGAAAUUUAGAUAGCUUAGAACAAUAAAUAUACAUUUAUUAUACAUACUUUGCAUGCCUAUAUGUAUCUUAUUGCAGUGAAUAUUAUUACAACAGGCAAAAAAUGCCAUAAUGCAUACAGGUUCUGUUAGAAAGAAACUGUAUUUUAUGAUUGUCAAGAGUUACUUCCGCAGAAUGAAUAGGAAAGUAGCCUUUUUUAACAGGACUGGUGUCAAGGGUUUGCUCCCCUGUAUGUUCUAUUAAUUAGGAUACAAAAGAAAGCUUCUUAACCCUUAUCAUGCUUGACACGAUUAAUUCUGCCUUUGCGACCUGUGUAAAUCUUGAUCAGCCUGCACAUAUGUGCAGUCUGAUCAAGAUCUGCUCUGUUCGCCAUUCAGUCUAUCUUUUUUGUAAGCACUCCUUUGAAAGAUGUACAAGUAGAAAUAUAGGAGGGUCAGGGUUAAGCAGAUGUGAUAAAAUUAUUAUUGUUAUUGUUAUAUUUUCAUCCAAACUUUUACCUGGUCUAAUAUUUCAUUUCACUAAAUGCAUAUAUAAAUCUAUAGUAUUUGCUUCACAGUUACUUCCCUUGUUUCAUGCUUACUUCACUACUGUAUAUUAUAGAGCAAAAUGGCAUUUUUAAGUCUUUGUAUAGCAAUCACAGCUUUUACAUUUGUACUUUCACAAAUAAAUGUGUUCAUAGAUUCUGAAAUUUAGAAA